UUCAGUAACAUUGGUAGGUGUGUAGAGGCGGAACCAGAGAUUACGGUCGCUGUCGAUGACGAAAUCGAAGGAUUUGACGCCAUUUUUGGGCUGACUUGAAGCAGAGCAUUUUAGGUCAACGAGGUUGAAGAGGCGACGGUUGCAGGUCAUGUUAGGGCGGCAAGAUACGUCGACGGCGAAGGCCACUGCCGACAUGAAGAGCCUUGUCGUCCAUGGGAGGUUUGGUGAGGCUUUAGCUUCAGGGUUUCCUGAAUCUGGCAUGUUGAUAUUAUUAGUUUCUAAUUUGCUAUCAAUAACUAAUGAGUGAUCACCGUGUGACCGUGUCUAGGUCUUUGGCUUUAUCGUCAAAAAAUAAUAAUAACCAAGUUGAAAGAUUUUUAUGAGCUUUCAAUUAUUGCAGAUAUUAGAUCAGUAGGUAAUCUAGCUUAUCAAAACGGGCUUGCUCAAUGGGAGAAAAACCGAAGUUGGACGUGUUUAUUUUCGUCGAGGUGAUUUAAUGUGAUUUUUUAUUGGUAAGUUUAAUGAAAUCUUAUGGUUGUCGAAGCCAACAAAAAUAAAUUCCUACUCUAAAUAAAUUGUGUAUAGUGAUUGAGCAGAGUCGUAUCCACAGAGAUCGGUAAUUAUUUAAAUCCUUUUGAAACGUAAAACGUAAAAUGGGGGAAUUGUUGACAAUAAUAAAAAUCAAAUUAAAAAUAACAAGAAUGCAAAUUAAAGUUGUAAUUCAAAUUGGAGAAAGCUCUGGUUGAAGGAAUUAACUCAGCUUGAUUCGACUACUGAUCAUUGAUUCAAAUAUAGAUUAUUAUUACUUAUGAAUAGACCGGUUAUAGCUAUUGAGACCCUCUAAUAGCCAAUCUCUCCUUAACUAGUCGAUAACCAAGGUACGACCGUUGGAUAUUUCCCUAAUCAAUAGACAACCCUAGAUACGAUCAUAUGAUUUAAUCAAUUGACAGCCUGAAAAACCAGAAAGACCCAAAUCCUAAUCAACACAUAUGAUGAUUCAUUUAAAUUAGAUUGUUUAUUCUCAUAACACAACUCACUGCUAUGUUAUUUGUCACAAACAUUAAAAUCUUCAUACGAUGAAUCCUUUAAUUGACAAUAGAUUAAGUUGAUAAUUAAAUAGUGGCCAAUUACCUAAUUAACAAACAUAAUCAUGAAAUUAAUUCAGAGAAUAAACAAAUACCCAAAAAGUAAUAAAACAAUUAAAGCAUAAGAAAGAUCUCACAGUAGUGAUGAAUCAAAGCUUCAUUAACCUUCAACCAGAAAAAUAGGUUUAGUUCUUCAUUGAGAGAAGAGAAAAGUUUAGAUCUAGGGUUUCUUUCUUUUUCUCCAAUCUCCUUUUUCACAAUAGAUUUCUCCCUUAAAUACUCUCUCUCUCUUCUCUUUUAGAGUUCUAUUUAAAAUAAAAUACUAAUAUCUGAAAUAUAAAAUUCGUAAUUACAAAAAUAGCCAAAAAUACAAAACACGUUAAACUAAAAACUGCAGGUCCGCAGUUGACAGCACGCGCCCACGCCUUAUCAACAAAGUUCUUCUGCCGUUCAUAAUUUCUCCAAGAGAACAAUCAUCCUUAAACAUCAUCUUGUAGCUCAAUUUUAUCACCAAUCAAUAUAAUUGCACCUACAAAAGUAAAUCACAAGUAAAUCACUAUUAUUAAGUGCAAAACAUCGAUAUUAAGGGAAGUAAACAAUGCAAAACUAGUGCAUAAAUUGCACUCUAACAAAUUCCCCCACACCAAGAUGAUGUUUGUCCUCAAGCAUAUAACUCAAGACUAAUUUCAAAUAUCCACUAAAUUCUCAUCUCAACUCAUCCAAAAACAAUUUUAAGCAAGUAUACCUCAAGAAAUUAAGUCGAUCAACAUUCGAGAGACAAGGAUUUUAGAGCAUAGAAUUUCAUAAGAUAGAAUAAGAACAUUCAACCACCAAGAGGAUCCAUUCAUAAUUCAAGUGCAACAAGAUUAAUAGCCCUCUCAAUAACUUCACUCCAUGCACUCAAAGUGUUUAGGGUGUCAUUUAUUCACUCAAAUCAAAUCAAAGAAUGCUAUCACCAUAAGCUUGCUCAUAUAUCACAUCUCAAUCCACAAAACAUGAAUAAAUUGCAAAAAUCUAAGGGUCUUAAAAGAGUUGUAAUGGGGUUAAAUAGGUUAAAUGAAAAAGAAAGGUCCAUGAAAGAGAAAAAGAGAUCAAAAUGAGAAGAAUGAACUCAUUAAAUGAACUUAUGAUAUCAAAAUGCUUAUUUCUACUCAAGUCACCAAGAAUGUAAACUUUUUUUUUCGAUUUUUCUUUUUUUUUUCUUUUUCCUCUUUUUUUUUCUUUUUCCUUUUUUUUGUUCUUUGUUUUUUUUUUAAUCAAACAAAAGAAACGAACCUUGCACAAUUUAAUUCAAGCAUAAUGCUUGUUGAUCUAAUUGAGAAAUUUUAAUACAAGGUAGAAAAAGCAACAAAAUAUAUCCACACAAUGAGUCCAAAAAUCUCCUUAAAUUGAGGCUCAAAAAGAAAAAAAAUGGUUAAGUAGACGGAGAGAAUUAGAUGGGUAAUGGUUAAGGCUCAAACAAAGGUAGCAAAUAAAGGUCUUCGGGUAGAGAAAAAGGAAAAUGCGAGAAUAGAAAAAUGGUAAAUGGUUUGCCCUUAUCAUUUUAAUGCAUAAAAUCCCGUAAUGUGGCUUCAACAUGCAUAACAAAGUAAGUUCUAGAAUAAACAAAUUAGGAUUGAUAUUCACAUAACAAAAAUAAUUAGAGCAAAGUGGUUGCUCAUAGACUCAAAUCCUCACAAAGUUGGUAAAUUUGCCAUCAAAUCAUGUACACUCUUCAAAUGAAUCAACCAUCAAUAGUGGUUUGGAAUGAGAAGAAGGUAUGAGUGAUAUAUAAAAGGAAAUGUAAAAAUGAUAAGAAGUGAGAAAGAGAUAUGUAGUAAUAUGAAAAGUGAAAGAUAAAAUGUGAGUGAUGAAAGAGUAUGAUAGAAUAAAAAUAGACGUAAAUAAUUUGAGAUAGAUGGGAAAAGAGUAGUGAGAAAGAAAAGAAAAGAAAAAAAUAAUAAUAUAUGAAGCAUACUAACUCCAAAAUCAUUUAAGGAUGAGUAGAGUGAAAAUAGAUGAGCAGAGUGAAAAUAAUAAUUCCAAACAUCAAUAAUGCAAAAAAUCCCUCCCCCACACCAAGAACUUACAUUGUCCCCAAUAUAAGAUAAUCAAAGCUCACAUAAAAAUUAAAGCAUAAGGAUAAAAGAUUAAAGGCAAAAAAAAAAAAAAAAAACUUUCCUGAAUUGUGAGCUUUGAUCCACAUAACGUCUAUGGGCUUGGCGGAAAUGGUGGGGUAAAUCCCACACUCUUGAAGUAUGCGGCCAAAUUCUGCUCCAUCUUGUUCAUCUUGUGCUCCAUUUUCUCUAACUGAAUGGUCAAAGGUGGUGCAGAUGUAGAAAGAAUAGUUGGCGGGGCAGCAGUGUCGUCGUCAAACUCGUCAUCAGAGGUAGCACCACUCCUAGCAUAAAGCUUCUUCGGAGGUUGAGUGGGUCCUGGUUCAGUAAACUAAAAUCUCCCCUCCUUGAAUUCGACCACACCUCUCUUUUUCUUGUUGAGUCGCGAAUGUGAGGCAUCCUCCGAGAUUGGAUUCCACAAGUGGCAAAACACUCAUGCCUUUUCCAUGUUUCGAUCUUUGUCUCAUUUUCUAAUAAGCACGUGGGCACGCCUUAAAACCAUUUUGCUUUAAAAAUCACAGAAGUACUUAUUAGUUAAGACGUGGGCACGCCUUAUCAAAAAUUUUCUUCUGACCAAAAUAAGCAAACGCAUUAUUUUUUAAAAAAAAUCUGAAUCAAAAUUAAAAGAAGAUACAACAAAAACCGAAAUAAAUAAAUCAUUUGGGUUGCCUCCCAAAAAGCGCCUUUGUUUUUUGUCUUUGGCUAGACACAUUUAUGCAUCAAUCUCCAUAAUUGGGACUUUCGAGAGCUACAUCCUCCACAAUAUUCACCGAAAAACCUUCAUAAAAGGGUUUUAAGCGAUGACCAUUAGCCUUAAAAACUUUGUCAGAGGUCGGACUCUGAAUCUCAACUGCACCAUGAAGAAAAACAUUAGUAACAAUAAAAGGUCCAACCCAGCAAGAACGUAAUUUACCCGGAAAAAGUUUAAGCUUAGAAUGAAAAAGAAGAACUUUUUGACCAAUAGAGAACUCAUUUCUCAAAAUUAUUCAAUCAUGAAAUGUCUUUGUCUUCUCCUUGUAAAAAACUUUCUGCGUUAUAGGAUUAAUAACAUCCACAGAAAAUACCGAAUGUUCCUCACUAGGAUAUUUCAUGGCAUCAUUCAUAUUGAAUUCUAUAACCUCUCCAUCAAACUCCAUAGUGAGAGUCCCUUUAUGUACAUCCAUUUUAGUCCUAGCAGUCUUAAGAAAAUGUCUUCCUAGCAAAAUUGGGACAGAAUUAGAGGAGUUAUCAUCUUCCAUAUCAAGUACAUAAAAAUCAGCAGGAAAAACCAACUCAUUAACUUGUACUAAGACAUCUUCUAAUACCCCAUCAGGAUAUGCAUUAGACCUAUCAGCUAGUUGAAUUAUCACACCAGUUUCUUUUAAUGGACCAACAUUCAAAGAUGAAUAAAUGGAACGAGGCAUGACAUUAAUAGAAGCUCCUAGAUCUAACAUAGCCUUUUCAACUCUAACACUACCAAUUUUACAAGGAAUAGUAAACAUACCUGGAUCCUUGCACUUAGGAGGUAGUUUCUUUUGGAGAACUGCUGAAACAUUCUCCCCCAUGUGAACUUUUUCAUCUCCUCUUAAUUUUCUCUUAGAGGUGCACAGUUCCUUAAGGACUUUAGCAUAUCGAGGUAUUUGUUUUAUAGCAUCUAAUAAAGAAAUAUUUACCUCAACCUUGCGAAAUGUCUCAAGGAUGUCUUUCUCUUGUUCCUCCUUCUUGGAUUUUGCAAACCGGCUUGGAAAAGGAGGAGGUAUCACAAUAGGUAGGGGUUUCGCUCUAGUGGGUUCCGCAUCUUGAGAUUUAGGCAUCAAUUCAUUCUUCUCAAGCUCAUCUUCUACAUGCUUUGUCACUUUCUUACUAGGCUCUUGCAACUCCUUCCCACUUCUAAGGAUGACAGCACUAACGUUUUGAUUUGGAUUCACCUCAGAUUGUGAAGGCAAUCUCCCUAAUACUUGAGACUCCAGAUGGCUCACUGUAGUCGCCAAUUGACUCAUUUGGUUCUCCAAAUUCUGAAUGCUUGUUGUAGUUGCCUGCUGAAAUUGUUGAGUGUUAGUCGCAAGUGAUUUAACAAUUUCUUCAAGAGAUAUACCUGACUUGGAGUUUGACUGUGGAGGUGCUGGUUGUCUUGGUGGAUACUGUUGUGGGAAUCCUGACGGCCUAACUCCAUAGCUGAAGUUGGGAUGAUCCUUCCAUCCCGGAUUGUAUAUUUGUGCAUAAAGAUCAUACCUCCUCUGAGGCAUGCCUAGAAAUCCUCCAACUGCAUUGGCUUGUUCAACGGGUUCUUCUUGAAGUGUAGGACACAUAUCGGUUGAAUGACCCAUAUUGUAACAAAUGCCACAAGUCUUCACCUGUUGCACAUUACGUACAACAAACUUUUCCACAAGAGAAGUAAGUUUAUCUAAACGUUGUUCAACAGAAGAAAUAUUUACCUCAUUCACCUUCCUUGAAGUAAGAUCUUGCCUGCUGCCAAAUUGUUGUGCGUUGGCAGCCAUAUUUGAUAUCAGCUCCCUUGCUUGAGUAGGGGUCUUGUUCACCAACACGCCUCCACUAGCAGCAUCUAUCAUACUCCUAUCCAUCAAUGACAGUCUUUCGUAAAAAUAUUGAAUAAGAAGUUGAUCAGAAAUCUGAUGAUGAGGACAGCUGGCACACAAUUGUUUGAAUCGCUCCCAAUACUCAUACAAAGUCUCCCCAGGAAGUUGUCUGAUCCCACAAAUAUCUUUUCUGAUGUUGGCAGCUCUUGAAGCAGGAAAGUACUUCUCGAGGAACUGCUUCUUCAAACCAUUCCACGUUGUAAUCGAUCCAGGAGGCAAGUAGUACAACCAAUCUUUAGCUAGCCCAUCUACAGAGAACGGAAAAGCACGCAGCUUAAUCUGCUCUUCAGUCACGCCUUGUGGCCUCAUACUUGAGCACACAACAUGAAACUCUUUGAGAUGUUUAUGAGGAUCUUCACCUGCAAAACCAUGAAACUUGGGUAAUAAAUGAAUAAGACCAGACUUUAAUUCAAAAUUUACCUCCAAGUCUACAUAUUGAAUGCAGAGUGGUUGUUGAUUCAAGUCUGGUUCAGCUAACUCUCUAAGAGUUCUUUCUAUAGGUGCAGCUCUAUCCAUCACUUGUUCUUUUGAAUCGCUAGAUGAUUCAACUAAAUCAGGCACUGUAUCUGUUUCAGAAAGCAAAGGUGACGAGGAUCGUUGCUUAGCUCGCUUCGUCUGCUGUCUCAGCUGGCGAGCUGUCUUCUCAAUUUCAGGAUCAAACGAAAGUGUACUUGUAGGAGAAGAACGAACCAUACACCAAGUAAAACGUAAAAAGGAUUAAAUAAACGACACCAAUCCCCGGCAACGGCGCCAAAAUUUGAUGGUUGUCGAAGCCAACAAAAAUAAAUUCCUACUCUAAAUAAAUUGUGUAUAGUGAUUGAGCAGGGUCGUGUCCACAUAGAUCGGUAAUUAUUUAAAUCCUUUUGAAACGUAAAAUGUAAAAUGGGGGAAUUGUUGACAAUAAUAAAAAUCAAAUUAAAAAUAACAAGAAUGCAAAUUAAAGUUGUAAUUCAAAUUGGAGAAAGCUCUAGUUGAAGGAAUUAACUCAGCUUGAUUCGACUACUGAUCAUUGAUUCAAAUAUAGAUUAUUAUUACUUAUGAAUAGACCGGUUAUAGCUAUUAAGACCCUCUAAUAGCCAAUCUCUCCUUAACUAGUCGAUAACCAAGGUACGACCGUUGGAUAUUUCCCUAAUCAAUAGACAACCCUAGAUACGAUCAUAGGAUUUAAUCAAUUGACAGCCUGAAAAACCAGAAAGACCCAAAUCCUAAUCAAUACAUAUGAUGAUUCAUUUAAAUUAGAUUGUUUAUUCUCAUAACACAACUCACUGCUAUGUUAUUUGUCACAAACAUUAAAAUCUUCAUACGAUGAAUCCUUUAAUUGACAAUAGAUUAAGUUGAUAAUUAAAUAGUGGCCAAUUACCUAAUUAACAAACAUAAUCAUGAAAUUAAUUCAGAGAAUAAACAAAUACCCAAAAAGUAAUAAAACAAUUAAAGCAUAAGAAAGAUCUCACAGUAGUGAUGAAUCAAAGCUUCAUUAACCUUCAACCAGAAAAAUAGGUUUAGUUCUUCAUUGAGAGAAGAGAAAAGUUUAGAUCUAGGGUUUCUUUCUUUUUCUCCAAUCUCCUUUUUCACAAUAGAUUUCUCCCUUAAAUACUCUCUCUCUCUUCUCUUUUAGAGUUCUAUUUAAAAUAAAAUACUAAUAUCUGAAAUAUAAAAUUCGUAAUUACAAAAAUAGCCAAAAAUACAAAACACGUUAAACUAAAAACUGCAGGUCCGCAGUUGACAGCACGCGCCCACGCCUUAUCAACAAAGUUCUUCUGUCGUUCAUAAUUUUUCCAAGAGAACAAUCAUCCUUAAACAUCAUCUUGUAGCUCAAUUUUAUCACCAAUCAAUAUAAUUGCACCUACAAAAGUAAAUCACAAUUAAAUCACUAUUAUUAAGUGCAAAACAUCGAUAUUAAGGGAAGUAAACAAUGCAAAACUAGUGCAUAAAUUGCACUCUAACAAAAUCUUCUGGGAUUCAUAAUUUUUUUUUUUAAUUUUAAAUUACGUAGAUCGUACUCACAUUAAAAAUUGAUGGGUACUACUAAAAGGCCACAUACUUAUCAAAUCUUAAAUGCUCAGACUAAUCUGCUAAGGCGUGCACAAAUUUUUCUCACUUUGUGAAGUGUUCGAUUAUAAUAAGAGCAUUAAUAUAUGUAUAUAAUUUGACUAAAUUUUGACAAAAAAUAUAUUUUAAAGGGUAUCAUUUUAAAUAUAUUUUUGUUUAGGAUUUAAUCCACCUUUAGUUUCCAAUCAUUUUUCUUAAAAUAAUAGUAAUUGGGGGAUAAUGGAAUAUAUGUAUGAUUUUUUUAUAUUAAUAAAUUUUUUUGGAGCUAUUCUAACUUUUUUUACUUCAUAACAAAAUUCUUUGAAGCAUUAAAAUAUAAAAUCAAAGGAUUUUCUAUGGAGAAUAGGAUGACCUUUAUAAGCUUUCUCUAUUCGUUUUACUUACCGCUGGUAAAAUUUGGCUCGAUUCAAUUAUCCAACAUGAACAUGACAUGAAUAAAUGAGUGUAGGUCGUUAAAUUUAAUACAAUUAUUAAAUAGGCUAGGUCUGGUUUGACGUGAUUUUUUUUUCUGUGUUGGAAUAAGAUUUUCUUAACUCAUUUACCCGAAUAACAACACGAUUAUAUAUAUUUUUAAAUUAAUUUUGAGGUUCUUGUCAUUAAAAUUCAAAUAUUAGAUAUGAUUCUCUCUUUUUAUUUUUAUUUUUUAGAAGGGUAGACAUAUACACAGUAUUUUAUUUAUAAAAUUUAUAUAGAUUUAGAACUUUAAUCAUGUAAAUGUGUAAUUUUUUUUGGCGGGAGGGUGUGUAUAUGUGGUUGUGUGUGUGUAACAUUUAUUAAAUACAUAGAUAUUAAAUGGGUUAUUCGGUAAUCCGUUUUUGAGUCUUAAUGUUUUCACACGAUUAUUAAAUGAAUCGGGUUUGAAUCAACUUAAAUUUAACAUAAUACAAACACAACACGACUACCCAUUUUGCCAGCUCUAGUUUUAUUAUUUAGACAAUUAGAGCAUCUCCAAAAGACUAUUAAUUUUACUCUUCAAAUAUUUAUUUGCUUACCUAUGUGGUAAAAAGGAGAGUGAAAAUAUGUUAUUUAAAAAAAAUUCAAAUAGAAAUAAGUAUUAUUUUAAAUAAAUAAAUAUUUUUUCAAUGGAAAAAUAUAUGAUAAUUAAAGCACUUCUCUCUCUCCAAUAAAACUAAUAAAAUAUAAAUUAAACAGAGAAAAAAUAACUUUAUAAAAUUGAAAAGAGAAAAUUAUUUUUUAUUUAAAAAUUUUUAAUUGAAAUAUUUUUUAAAUUUUUAAAUAUUGAUGUGUUUCUUUAAAUAAGUAAUAAAAUCAUAUUUAAGGAAUUUUUUUUAGAGAUGUUCUUACAAAUGAUAAAAAAUGAACUUAUUUUGUAAUUCCCAAUUACAGCUUAUUGAAGAUAUAUGUAUGCAUGUGGCUCGUUAACUUCAAACAUGUGUUAAAAACUUGUCAAUUAAAGAUUGGUUUACGUACCCAACUGUCAUUGCAUUAAAAUUUAAGAAGAUAUUAUGUGAGACCAACAUAUCACUUCAACAAGGCAGGCCCAGUUGGUCGUUGAGUCUCGAAGCAGUAAUUACAAUGGGUCCAUUAAGUUCAAUGUGAAAACAUCAAUGAAAUAUAUAUAUAUUUUUUAUUUUACCAGCUUUAUCUUCUUUUUCUCGGAUCUUUGGGGUUGUUUCUAUAUAGAUUCCUCUUUCAUUGUAGCCACUUAUAAAUGCAAGACUUCAUAUCAAGUUGAUAAAUGUUCAAUUCUUUUUAAGUAGAAAGUGUAACAAGAUCUCAAAUUUUAUCCAAACGAUCGAGCGACUCAGCAACAUGAGAAAACCUUACAUUGUAAUCGACUCCAAAAUAUUGUAAUUGAUACGAACCUUACUUUGGGUUUACGUAUUGAACCAUCAGGAUUGAGCCUUGUUUGUAGACCACUUUAAUGAUUUCUUUCUCUUCAGGACAAUUAACUAACUACCAUGUUCUGUUUUUUGAAAUCAUCUUUAUCUCUUUCUACAAAACUUUCACCCGUAUUUUUUUAUUUGAUGCAACUACAUUAAUUAUCUAGUUGUAAAUUUGUAAAUUUCCAUUAGUGACAGUUGGCAUUUGGCACCAGACCCAUACACCUAAAAACUUUUCCAGCCAGAGCUGCUCUUAAAAGUACUCAACCCUGAUGCCAUAUUGAAUUUAAAGAAGAGUUGACUAUUGCCAACCGUCAUUAAUCUCUUGACUGCGUUUGUCACACUGUAUUAUAUUACAUUAAGAAUAUAUUUGGUAUACUAUUAUAUUAUUUAAUACAUGUGUGUAGUAUUAUAUUGUAUUAUACUAAUGCUGCAUUUAAAUACUAUUGUACAGUAUUUAAUGCUACUAUAUUAAGUUCUAAUUAUACUAUACUUGGUGUUGCACUAUAUUGAUUGUAUUCAUUUUUUAAUGAUUAAUUUAAAUUAUAUAUUUAGAAAACAAUAUUUAUAAGGUAACACCGAGUGGGAUUAGCAUGAUAAUUGAAAAUAAUCAAAUAAUAAAGUAAUUUUGGCUGGAUUUAAUAGUUAAUUUUAUUAAUGUUCUAUCAGCCUUUAGUUUCUUUAAUAAUUUUUUAUAUUAAUAAUUAUAUUUCAUAUACUAUCAAUUUUUAUUUUAUUAUUAUAAUUUUUUUUAUAAUACCUCAAUAUCAAACGGAAUUUAAAUGAAUGGUAUACUAAUCAAAAGUAGGCCAAAGAAUUGAAGAUUAGACGUGUGUUAGCACACUGCUAAAAAAUAUUUUUAAUAAAAUAAAUAAAUAAGACAUCAUACAUGAUACAUUUGUUUCAUCAUAAAAUUGAUAUGGUCACCAUGAAAUUGCUAAAUUUGGGACUUACAUAAAUUUUAGGGCCUAGCACGAGACGGGCCUUGCGUUGGACAUGUAUCGUGUCACUACAAACGGGUAGUGCCAAGCUGGAAGUAUUCAAAACUAGGUUGAGUCCAUGCUGGGUUGGGCUGAUCCGACUGAGGCCCUAUUUAAUAUUAAAAUUAAAUAGUUAUAUUUUAAAAGCAGUGUUUCGUAUACACUACUGUUGUGGCAUAAAAAUUAAAUUAAUUUUAUUUCAUUACUUGUAUGAUAAAAAAUUUAUAAUAUUUUUAUUACUUUUAUAAAAUUAUUAUCUAAAAGUCAUAUUUACUACACAUUAUAAAUUUUUUUUAUAAUUACAACUUUUUUCAAUAACACCUCAAUACUAAAUAUGAUCUCAAUUAUCCCGUCUAAAUACGCACGACAAUGCUAGCGGUGCUAAAUGUUAUGAAAAUAUCAAUUUUUAUAUGGAUAUGUUCAUUAAAACAAAACUUUUACUCUCCCCAAAUAGCAACUUUUUAUCGGUUCAUAUCUCUGACUAUCAACAAAAAGGUUAUGAUCUAUAACCCUUUAAUUUGACUAUCCACUUACAACAAUUUAUGAUUAUGAGACUAUAAAAAGAGAGUUCGCUUUUAUUUUAUUUUAUUUUUUCAAGUUUGUACACACUAAAGAGAGAUAGCGUUGGUUUAUUGAGUAAAAAAAUCUUUUUUGUUCCCUCUAUUUCUCUUGUUAAAAUAUUUGUGUUUUACAUAUAUUGAUAAAUUUAUAAUUGGAAUUAUUUAUUAUGGAGCCUGUAAAUCGGAGCCUGCAAUAAACAAGUAUAAGUGAUCUCUAUGCAAUUGCUGCAUUUUUAACAACUUUUUGUAGUUACAAUUUACGUAUUCGCACAGUUUUUCUUUUUGAAACGUAUGCAUUUGCACAAUUGAAUGUAUAUAUUACAAAAUACUUAGUAAGUAACUAUAAUAUUGCUAUAAAUAAUCAAAUGUUUACAACAAAACACUUGUGAUAGCUUAUACUUUACAACUGAUGGCCACUGCACAACAGUUGUACUCGAGAGUUCAAACGUCAAUGAUAUUUACCCAUAAAACUUUAGAAGGCACAUGAGGACCACAAAAAUCGCACCCGUGCUGAUUUUUUCCCAUUUCACACCACAUGGGCCACGAAAACGACAUAGGCAAGUAUCAUUUUAGAAAAUCAAAAUGGUUCACACAAUUCAAGACCCGAUAUUUGUGGAAAUAGGCCCCACUUCUUUUUAUUAUUUCUUCCCCAAAAGGCAAAACUACAAAAAUUUUGAAUCCGGCAUUUCGUUGACUGUUUAUUGUUUAAUUCCAUGCUCUGUGCCUCAAACAAUUUGAGAAAGAGAUAACUCACUCACUUCUUUUAAAUUAAAAAAAAAAAUUUUGGUAACGAACCACUAAAAAGGCAUAUAUAAUGCAAGCAUUGAAACUUAAUUAAUUUCUAGCUAAAAGCAUGAAAAUUUCACAACAAUUAGAAAUGGAAAGAGUACAUACACAUGAGUACAAUUUGAAUUCCAAUUACUUAAUUAAACAAAGAGUGAGAGAGUGAUUCAUUUUUUACUUCAUUCAUGAUUUAGCAGAUUGAUCUUGUAUAAAAUUCCUGACGUUAUCAAUGAACAAAGAUCCCUGGUGUAGCUCAGGGAAAAAAUAGAAACCAUGAACCACAUUCGGAUACUCAAUCAAAUAAGCUUCUUUGCCAUGUCUCUUCAAUCCCUCGUAGUGCCUCUUCUGCCAAACUUUUAAAGGAUCAAACCCACCAACAAUUACCAUCGUCGCCGGGAUGUCCACGCCGGAAAUAUCAAUGGCGUUCUUCCCAAAAGUAUUCGCUGCCGGAUGGUCACGAUCAGACCCUUCCGGCAAAAAAGCUUUCCACAUCCAGUCAGAAUGCUUCAAUGAAACCAAUGGAGUUAUAUCAUUAAGAUCUUCCUCCGAUUGAGUCCUCUCCUCUCCUCCGAAAAAUGGCUGAAUCGCUAUCACUCCAAUGAGCUUCAGGUUGGAAAAGCUACACUCAUUAGCUCGCACUGCCACGUUAUGCGCCAAGUUCCCGCCGGCACUAUCGCCGGCGACAAAACAACGUUUGAGAUCAGCACAAUCUGGGAAGUCUUCGACUGUUGAGAUUUUACUGUCGAUGAAUUUUAACACAUCAAUCCCGUCGUCAUAUUGACUCGGGUACCGAUUCUCCGGAGCAAGACGGUAGUUGACGGAGAUGACGACGGCGGGGAUCUCCUUGGCGAGCCGUCGACAGUGAUCAUCGAAGCGUUUUGAGUUUGCAGCCAGGAGAACGAAGCCUCCGCCAUGGAAGUAGACAAUCACUGGCAAGCUGCUUGUGGAUGUUUCAGUAACAUUGGUGGGUGUGUAGAGGCGGAACCAGAGAUUGCGGCCGCUGUCUAUGACGAUAUCGGAGGAUUUGACGCCAUUUUUAGGUUGACUUGAAGCAGAGCAUUUUAGAUCAACGAGGUUGAAGAGGCGACGGUUGAAGGUCAUGUUAGGGCGGCAAGAUACGUCGACGGCGAAGGCCACUGCCGACAUUAAGAGCCUUGUUGUCCAUGGAAGGUUUGGUGAGGCUUUAGCUUCAGGGUUUCCUGAAUCUGGCAUGUUGAUAUUAUUAGUUUCUAAUUUUCUAUAAUAACUAACGAGUGAUCACUAUGUCUAGGUCUUUGGCUUUAUCAUAAAAAGAUAAUAAUAAUCAAGUUGAAAGAUUUUUAUGAGCUUUCAAUUAUUGCAGAUAUUAGAUCAUUAGGUAAUCUAGCUGAUCAAAACGGGCUUGCUCAAUGGGAGAAAAACUGAAGUUGGACGUGUUUAUUUUCG
RNAcentral lists this long non-coding RNA (13398 nucleotides) under Citrus maxima (pomelo). Its description in RNAcentral is "long non-coding RNA (CMAX_LNC001910)". The stretch from base 5789 to 5895 matches the Rfam family "Plant small nucleolar RNA R71". Lineage: Eukaryota; Viridiplantae; Streptophyta; Magnoliopsida; Sapindales; Rutaceae. The record is from RNAcentral.